This 253-nucleotide ribosomal RNA is filed under the name uncultured bacterium. Its description in RNAcentral is "partial 16S ribosomal RNA". It matches the Rfam family "Bacterial small subunit ribosomal RNA", at positions 524 to 776 of the family's 1533-position model. The record is from RNAcentral.
UACAGAGGUCUCAAGCGUUGUUCGGAUUCAUUGGGCGUAAAGGGUGCGUAGGUGGCGGGGUAAGUCAGGUGUGAAAUCUCGGAGCUCAACUCCGAAACUGCACUUGAUACUGCCUUGCUUGAGUACUGGAGAGGAGAUUGGAAUUUACGGUGUAGCAGUGAAAUGCGUAGAUAUCGUAAGGAAGACCAGUGGCGAAGGCGGGUCUCUGGACAGUUCCUGACGCUGAGGCACGAAGGUCAGGGGAGCAAACGGG